ACAAUAUCCUUCAGUGGAGAAAUUGCAGAGCUAGCAUCGCCAAACCUCAAAUGUUGUUCCCUAAUUUCAAUCUUGUCAUUGUUGUAAAUCCGUUCAGAACCCAUUCCAUAUUGUGCAAUGGUCUCUGAAAAUCUUUUAUCUGCCAUCUCCUUCAAACUCUUCUGAACUUCAGAAUGUUCAGAAGGUUGAAGAGUAGUCGAAUGCUG
RNAcentral lists this unclassified non-coding RNA (206 nucleotides) under Hevea brasiliensis (rubber tree). The record is from RNAcentral. Lineage: Eukaryota; Viridiplantae; Streptophyta; Magnoliopsida; Malpighiales; Euphorbiaceae.